AAUAAAUUUUUAUAGUUUUAUUAUUUUAAUUUAAAUUUAAUUUACAUAUAAAUUAUAGUAUUAGUUUUUAAUUUAUUUUAAUAAUUAUUAAAUUUAUUGGUAGUAAUUAAUAUUAAAAAUUUAAGAAAUUAAGAUUUAGUAAUAUUUAUAAAUUAUUAACAAAUUUUGUGCCAGCAGUUGCGGUUAAACAAAAAAUGAUUUAAAAUUUUUCAAUAUAAUAAUAAAUAUUUUAUUUAAGAAAAAAAAAUAAUUAAAUAUUAAGUGAAAUUUUAUUUAAUUAGAAAUUUUUAUUAAAAAUAUGAUUUAAUAAAUUUUUUUUAAAAAACUAGGAUUAGAUACCCUAUUAUUAAAAAUUAAAGAUAUAAUAUUAAAAUAGUAUAUAAUUAUUUAUAAAAACUUAAAUAAUUUGGCGGUAUUUUAGUUCAUUUAGAGGAAUCUGUUUAGUAAUUGAUAAUCCACGAAUAAAUUUACUUAAUUUAAAAUUUUGUAUAUCGUUGUAAAAAAAAUAUUUUUAAAUAAUAUUAAUAUUUUAAAAUUAUAAUAAAAAAUUAAUUCAGAUCAAGAUGCAGAUAAUAAUUAAGUUAAAAAUGGAUUACAAUAAAAAAAAUUAAAUGAAUAAUAAUUUGAAAAAUAUAUUUGAAGGUGGAUUUAAAUGUAAUUUUAUUUAAUUUAAUAAAAUGAUUAAAAAUUAAAAUAUGUACAUAUUGCCCGUCGCUUUCAUUUAAAAAUUGAAAUAAGUCGUAACAAAGUAGGGAUACUGGAAAGUGUUCCUAGAAAUAA
This 780-nucleotide non-coding RNA is filed under the name Trogonoptera brookiana. The record is from RNAcentral. Lineage: Eukaryota; Metazoa; Arthropoda; Insecta; Lepidoptera; Papilionidae.